AGCAGCCGCGGUAAUUCCAGCUCCAAUAGCGUAUAUUAAAGCUGUUGCAGUUAAAAAGCUCGUAGUUGAAUUUCGGGAUCAAUAUGUUGGUCGUGCCUUGGUACGUACUGGCAUUAUUGGUUUCUACCUUCUGAAGAACCUCGAUGUCAUUAAUUUGGUGUCUUGGGGAAUCAGGACUGUUACUUUGAAAAAUUAGAGUGUUUAAAGCAGGCUCGCGCUUGAAUACAUUAGCAUGGAAUAAUGAAAUAGGACGUUUGAUUCUAUCUUGUUGGUUUCUAGGAUUGACGUAAUGAUUAAUAGGGAUAGUUGGGGGCAUUAGUAUUCAAUUGUCAGAGGUGAAAUUCUUGGAUUUAUUGAAGACUAACUACUGCGAAAGCAUUUGCCAAGGAUGUUUUCAUUAAUCAAGAACGAAAGUUAGGGGAUCGAAGACGAUCAGAUACCGUCGUAGUCUUAACCAUAAACUAUGCCGACUAGGGAUCGGAUGAUGUUAAUUUUUAANGA
This 501-nucleotide ribosomal RNA is filed under the name uncultured Glomus. RNAcentral describes it as "SSU rRNA". It matches the Rfam family "Eukaryotic small subunit ribosomal RNA", at positions 569 to 1074 of the family's 1831-position model. The record is from RNAcentral. Lineage: Eukaryota; Fungi; Glomeromycota; Glomeromycetes; Glomerales; Glomeraceae.